RNAcentral lists this transfer RNA (72 nucleotides) under Dipodomys ordii (Ord's kangaroo rat). It matches the Rfam family "tRNA". Rfam says of the family: Transfer RNA (tRNA) molecules are approximately 80 nucleotides in length. Their secondary structure includes four short double-helical elements and three loops (D, anti-codon, and T loops). The record is from Rfam by way of RNAcentral. Lineage: Eukaryota; Metazoa; Chordata; Mammalia; Rodentia; Heteromyidae.
GGGAAGGUGGCUCAGUGGUAGAGCACUUGCCUUGCAUGCAUAAGGCCCUGGGUUUGAUUCCUCACCACCACA